AUCCGGUCGCUCGCUAUCGGUGCUCGUUGGGCUGCUGUCCCACGGGCUGAAAAGGGAACCCGGUGUGAAUCCGGGACUGCCCCGCAGCGGUAAUCGAGAACGAAAGUCAUCACGAAGCACUGGGCGCCUGCGCCUGGGAAGCGAUGACCGGUAGGAAAGCGAUCGGUGACGAUCGCAGCGCUCGUGAGUCCGAAGACCUGCCGAGAGCGCGCCCGCCCG
Molecule: non-coding RNA, 219 nt
Filed under: Myxococcales bacterium
Lineage: Bacteria; Pseudomonadati; Myxococcota; Myxococcia; Myxococcales
Source: RNAcentral